Molecule: transfer RNA, 77 nt
Filed under: Eubacteriales Family XIII. Incertae Sedis bacterium
Lineage: Bacteria; Bacillati; Bacillota; Clostridia; Peptostreptococcales; Anaerovoracaceae
Description: tRNA-Val
Rfam family: tRNA
About the family: Transfer RNA (tRNA) molecules are approximately 80 nucleotides in length. Their secondary structure includes four short double-helical elements and three loops (D, anti-codon, and T loops).
Source: RNAcentral
GGACACUUAGCUCAGCUGGUUAGAGCACCUGCCUUACAAGCAGGGGGUCGCAGGUUCGAAUCCUGCAGUGUCCACCA